GAAGUAAAAGUCGUAACAAGGUUUCCGUAGGUGAACCUGCGGAAGGAUCAUUACAGUGUCUAGCUGGGCGUCCCCUCGGGGUCGCCCGCUACUGACCACCCUUGCCUACCUAACCACUGUUGCUUCGGCAGGCCCGCUCCCGGUGCUCCCUAACGGGGGCUCUUGGGGCGGCCUGGGGCCUGGCUUAACCGCCGCCCGGGUUUGCGCCUGCCGGGGGAUUAGUUGAAACACUUGUUGAUCAGUGAGAACUCUGAGUUGAUUUUAAAAUCGUUAAAACUUUCAACAACGGAUCUCUUGGUUCCAGCAUCGAUGAAGAACGCAGCGAAAUGCGAUAAGUAAUGUGAAUUGCAGAAUUCCGUGAAUCAUCGAAUCUUUGAACGCACAUUGCGCCCUCUGGUAUUCCGGGGGGCAUGCCUGUCCGAGCGUCAUUACACCAAUCAAGCACGGCUUGUGAGUUGGGCCACCGUCCCCUAAAAAGGACGGGCCCGAAACGCAGUGGCGGCGUCGCGGUUUCUCGAUCAGCCAGAGUGUAUGGGGAUUUUAUUCACACGCUCACGGCCGGGACCGGCGCCAGUCGAUAACCAAAUUUUUUAUCAAGGUUGACCUCGGAUCAGGUAGGGAUACCCGCUGAACUUAAGCAUAUCAUA
RNAcentral lists this ribosomal RNA (647 nucleotides) under Onygenales sp. 02NH15. RNAcentral describes it as "eukaryotic LSU rRNA". The stretch from base 275 to 428 matches the Rfam family "5.8S ribosomal RNA". The record is from RNAcentral. Lineage: Eukaryota; Fungi; Ascomycota; Eurotiomycetes; Onygenales.